Molecule: ribosomal RNA, 497 nt
Filed under: uncultured bacterium
Lineage: Bacteria
Description: partial 16S ribosomal RNA
Rfam family: Bacterial small subunit ribosomal RNA
Source: RNAcentral
GAUGAACGCUGGCGGCGUGCCUAAUACAUGCAAGUCGAGCGAACGGACGAGAAGCUUGCUUCUCUGAUGUUAGCGGCGGACGGGUGAGUAACACGUGGAUAACCUACCUAUAAGACUGGGAUAACUUCGGGAAACCGGAGCUAAUACCGGAUAAUAUUUUGAACCGCAUGGUUCAAAAGUGAAAGACGGUCUUGCUGUCCCUUAUAGAUGGAUCCGCGCUGCAUUAGCUAGUUGGUAAGGUAACGGCUUACCAAGGCAACGAUGCAUAGCCGACCUGAGAGGGUGAUCGGCCACACUGGAACUGAGACACGGUCCAGACUCCUACGGGAGGCAGCAGUAGGGAAUCUUCCGCAAUGGGCGAAAGCCUGACGGAGCAACGCCGCGUGAGUGAUGAAGGUCUUCGGAUCGUAAAACUCUGUUAUUAGGGAAGAACAUAUGUGUAAGUAACUGUGCACAUCUUGACGGUACCUAAUCAGAAAGCCACGGCUAACUACGUG